This 348-nucleotide transfer-messenger RNA is filed under the name Pelagerythrobacter aerophilus. It matches the Rfam family "Alphaproteobacteria transfer-messenger RNA". Rfam says of the family: Bacterial tmRNA, also known as 10Sa RNA or SsrA, is named for its dual tRNA and mRNA-like properties. Its role is to liberate the mRNA from a stalled ribosome. The record is from RNAcentral. Lineage: Bacteria; Pseudomonadati; Pseudomonadota; Alphaproteobacteria; Sphingomonadales; Erythrobacteraceae.
CCACUUCACAUUAAUCCGCGAACCCUUAUAUAGGGUCUCGCCGGUUUCGGCCGGCUAUGGCGAUAAAUUGCGGUGUGCAAUAGGCACAACGGACCCGGGGGCAGUACCCGGCGGCUCCACCACCAGAGGCGUACGCAACGCCGUUGAUGAUGGGGCCGAACCAGGAUCGACGUGUGUUGAAAAGCACUGUUUUCGCCCGGGCUGAGUAACCCGUUAAAGGCUCAAAACUCACAAGUGCCAACGACAACGAAGCACUUGCUCUCGCUGCGUAAUGUGACGGCCUAACGGCCUGAAUUUACAAAGCUAAGAGCACGGUUCGGACCGAACCGGGUAACAGAAUCGGAAACC